AUGGUCUGUGGGAUCUACAAUAUUGCAACGGUGCUCAAAUCCCAACUCAAAUCCGUGAAAACUAAGUUCAAAUCGAAGAAAACCCUCACCAUAAAUCAAAGAGAAAUGAUACUCACGAAGGUCUCGUCCGCGUGCGAGUUUAAGAGGGGGGACAUAGAAUCUUCGCUGCUAGUUUCGCCGUCCUUCCAGGACACCAUUGCUGCGGCGGCCGUCGGCGACAAAUGGGCGGCGGAGGCGGUGGCAAACGCGUUGCGGACAGAGAAGAAGGCGGCCGAGAGAGAGGGGAAUGGACGAAUGGGUCAGGCUGGGUCGGGCCGGCUCGUUAGAAAUCAACCAGGUUUGCUCACCACCAAUCCAGAGUGCUUCGAAGGACUGGUGGCAUGCGCCGAAAAGAUAGGUGUGCCCCGUGGUUAUGGGAUGUUCAGGCACAUGCUGCAUGCUAUUGCAUUUGAUAGCGAGGAGACCAUCACAGCCAGAGUGGAGCACUUGAAGACCACGUUCAUGUGGACGGAUGGUGACGUGGGAAUUGUUGUUUCUAGGUUCCCAUUGAUGCUGACGAGGUCCAAAGAAUCACUGCAGCGUAGGUCUGAGUUCCUCAUCUCCGAGGUGGGCUUGGAACCGGCGUACAUUGCUCAUUGA
This 639-nucleotide ribosomal RNA is filed under the name Triticum aestivum (bread wheat). RNAcentral describes it as "partial small subunit ribosomal RNA". Lineage: Eukaryota; Viridiplantae; Streptophyta; Magnoliopsida; Poales; Poaceae. The record is from RNAcentral.